RNAcentral lists this ribosomal RNA (791 nucleotides) under Dehalococcoidales bacterium. Its description in RNAcentral is "partial 23S ribosomal RNA". It matches the Rfam family "Bacterial large subunit ribosomal RNA", at positions 2136 to 2925 of the family's 2925-position model. The record is from RNAcentral. Lineage: Bacteria; Bacillati; Chloroflexota; Dehalococcoidia; Dehalococcoidales.
GUGUAGGAUAGGUGGGAGUCUAUGAAUCCCCAACGCCAGUUGGGGGGGAGACAACCUUGAAAUACCACCCUUUUCUGUUUUCGGCUCUAACCCUGGAUAGGCCAGGGGACCAUGUCUGGUGGGUAGUUUGACUGGGGCGGUCGCCUCCCAAAAGGUAACGGAGGCGCGCAAAGGUCCCCUCAGGGCGGAUGGAAAUCGCCCGUGGAGUGCAUUGGCAUAAGGGGGCUUGACUGCGAGACCUACAAGUCGAGCAGGUGCGAAAGCAGGCCAAAGUGAUCCUACGGUUCCGUGUGGAAGGGCCGUGGCUUAACGGAUAAAAGCUACCCCGGGGAUAACAGGCUUAUCUUGCCCAAGAGUUCACAUCGACGGCAAGGUUUGGCACCUCGAUGUCGGCUCGUCGCAUCCUGGGGCUGAAGAAGGUCCCAAGGGUCCGGCUGUUCGCCGGUUAAAGCGGCACGCGAGCUGGGUUCAGACCGUCGUGAGACAGGUCGGUCUCUAUCCGUCGUGGGCGUCCGGAGAUUUGAGGGAGGCUCUCUCUAGUACGAGAGGACCGAGAGGGACAGACCAAUGGUGUGCCAGUUGUUCUGCCAAGGGCAUUGCUGGGUAGCCAAGUCUGGUUUGGAUAAGCGCUGAAAGCAUCUAAGUGCGAAGCCAGUCCCAAGAUUAGAUCUCCCAUCCUUCCUUUCGGGGAAGGAGUAAGACCGCAAGUAGACUACUUGUUUGAUAGGCGGCAAGUGUAAGGGUAGUAAUACUUUUAGCUAAGCCGUACUAAUGGUCGAGGGCUUGACCUG